GGGGUGCGCUCAGAGCAGGAGCCUGAAGAAAUGGUUCCUCUGUUUAUAACACACCUGACAGGCAUCUGGGUUCAUUGUGACAAGGGGCACAAAACUUGUAGCCUUCCUAUGAACAAAUACCCUACACAU
This is a small nucleolar RNA of Balaenoptera musculus (blue whale), 129 nucleotides long. The record is from Ensembl. NCBI's taxonomy places the organism in Eukaryota, Metazoa, Chordata, Mammalia, Artiodactyla, Balaenopteridae.